CACAAUUGCAUGUUUGAGUUCAAAUUUUGAAUCACAAAAGGCUUUAAGAGAUUUUGUUUACAUCCCUGUAACCUUUGAAUUUUCAAACCAAUAGGGUUGAUGCAUAAAAAGGGUUUAAUGCAUAUAUAAGCUAUCCCAUAAUUUUUGGUUAACUAAUUGGAGUUGAAAAAGUAUUUUAUUCAAACAGAUAUAUAGCCCUAAAGUCAUUUAUAGGGCAAAUGUAUUUUUAUAUAUUUUAUUUUGAAGAGAAACUACUUCCAAAAAGUUGUAUCAUGGUAGAACAUGAUUUUACAAAUUUUCUGGAAUUUAUUUGGACCAAUUUGGAGUUCAAACACAAAAGAUAUCAAAGAAAUGAGAAAAACAGAAAAAGAAAAGGCCUAAAAGGAAAAAAAAAAGGGAUAAACCAGACCGGCCCAGCCAAAAUGGGCCGAACCGGCCCAGUCCGACCGCGCCCGACCGGCCCAAACCGCCCGGUCCGCGCGCGCGCCCGCAGUCGCUGACAGGUGGGGUCCACCUGUCAGCUGCGUCUUCCUCGAAGGAAAGCGCCGCCGGUCACGCGCGCGAAUUCCGGCCGCCGUCCUCGCGCGCCCGCCGCCGCAAUCUCCUCCUCCGGCCUUCCAUUUUCAUGCCCGAGCACUCCUUUAUAACCCCCGCGACCUCCUCUCUCUUUCCCCCUUGUUUCCCCAUCCAAUCGCGCCGCCGGGCUGCCCCGAUUUCUCGCCGGAGCCGUGCCCGCGCCGCCGCCCAUCUUCGUCCUCGGCGCCGUCCCCGACCGUCCCUGACCGCGCCUCGUCUCCGCCGGGCCGCGCCGCACCUCCCCGUGUCUUCCCCGUCGC
Molecule: long non-coding RNA, 836 nt
Filed under: Brachypodium distachyon (stiff brome)
Lineage: Eukaryota; Viridiplantae; Streptophyta; Magnoliopsida; Poales; Poaceae
Description: long non-coding RNA (BDIS_LNC000803)
Source: RNAcentral